UACGGAGGGUGCAAGCGUUAUCCGGAUUCACUGGGUUUAAAGGGCGCGUAGGCGGGUCGGUAAGUCAGGGGUGAAAUCCCACGGCCCAACCGUGGAAGUGCCUCUGAUACUGCCGGCCUCGAGGGGGAUAGGGGCGUGCGGAACUCAGGGUGGAGCGGUGAAAUGCGUAGAUAUCCUGAGGAACACCGGUGGCGAAAGCGGCGCGCUGGAUCCCUUCUGACGCUGAGGCGCGAAAGCCAGGGGAGCAAACGGG
Molecule: ribosomal RNA, 253 nt
Filed under: uncultured bacterium
Lineage: Bacteria
Description: partial 16S ribosomal RNA
Rfam family: Bacterial small subunit ribosomal RNA
Source: RNAcentral